GAAAUAAAAUAAUUAAACUUCUAAUUUAAUAAAAGUGAUUAAAUUCAUUAAUAUUUCU
RNAcentral lists this transfer RNA (58 nucleotides) under Paduniella communis. RNAcentral's name for it is "tRNA-Ser". The record is from RNAcentral. Lineage: Eukaryota; Metazoa; Arthropoda; Insecta; Trichoptera; Psychomyiidae.